UAUGUAUCCUAGCCCUUACAUCAGGACUCAUCAAACCACUGGGGAAAACACAAACAGAUACAGGAACGUGUUAGACUAUUCACUGCUCAUCUCUCAACACACUUUUGAAGAGGACCUGAGAUGAUACAGUGUAUUCACAUCAAGGACUCGUCCAGGUAUCACAGCGUUCCCGCCAUACAACUCAGGG
This 187-nucleotide long non-coding RNA is filed under the name Fukomys damarensis (Damara mole-rat). Its description in RNAcentral is "lncRNA (ENSFDAG00000021948.1)". The record is from RNAcentral. Lineage: Eukaryota; Metazoa; Chordata; Mammalia; Rodentia; Bathyergidae.